GCGAGAGUGGCUCAGUUGGUAGAGCAUCUCCUUGCCAAGGAGAAGGUCGCGGGUUCGAACCCCGUCUCUCGCUCCA
Molecule: transfer RNA, 76 nt
Filed under: Candidatus Shapirobacteria bacterium
Lineage: Bacteria; Candidatus Shapironibacteriota
Also listed under: 1 other name
Description: tRNA-Gly
Rfam family: tRNA
About the family: Transfer RNA (tRNA) molecules are approximately 80 nucleotides in length. Their secondary structure includes four short double-helical elements and three loops (D, anti-codon, and T loops). Further hydrogen bonds mediate the characteristic L-shaped molecular structure. tRNAs have two regions of fundamental functional importance: the anti-codon, which is responsible for specific mRNA codon recognition, and the 3' end, to which the tRNAs corresponding amino acid is attached (by aminoacyl-tRNA synthetases). tRNAs cope with the degeneracy of the genetic code in two manners: having more than one tRNA (with a specific anti-codon) for a particular amino acid; and 'wobble' base-pairing, i.e. permitting non-standard base-pairing at the 3rd anti-codon position.
Source: RNAcentral